Non-coding RNA from Arachis ipaensis, 451 nucleotides. The record is from RefSeq and is a predicted model, not a curated record. NCBI's taxonomy places the organism in Eukaryota, Viridiplantae, Streptophyta, Magnoliopsida, Fabales, Fabaceae.
AAUUUGUUAGGAAUGAAAGAAAAAAAAGAAAGCAAAAGUCCCAAUAUGAUCCAAUCGAUAUUGAAACUAUUGAUAAGGUUGAUUUUUGGGUGACGGAAGAGGUUGUUGAAAAAGAGCCUGAUCUUCCAAGUAAUAUUGAAGACUUGCUUCAUGAGAUUGAUGCUGAUUUAGAUCAAGGUGGUGGUGGUGGUAGUACUAGUACAUUUUAUGCUGCACCACUUGCUUUUUCUGGUCCAAGUAGUGGAAAUGAAGGUGAUGAAAUCAAUGACGCAAAUCUGCAACAAAUUAUGGAGGAUUUUGAUGGUUGAUGACAAAUUUGGCUCAUUUUGAUGCUGCUAUGUUAUGUUUGAUUGGUUGUUUGUUGACUUUUGAACUUUGAAUUUGUAUUUGAAUGAGAUUAUAACAUUUGGUUUAUGUAGGACUUUUAAUUUGAAUGAUAUUUUAAAGUUUA